GACGAACGCUGGCGGCGUGCUUAACACAUGCAAGUCGAACGGAAAGGCCCUGCUUUUGUGGGGUGCCCGAGUGGCGAACGGGUGAGUAACACGUGAGUAACCUGCCCUUGACUUUGGGAUAACUUCAGGAAACUGGGGCUAAUACCGGAUAGGAGCUCCUGCUGCAUGGUGGGGGUUGGAAAGUUUCGGCGGUUGGGGAUGGACUCGCGGCUUAUCAGCUUGUUGGUGGGGUAGUGGCUUACCAAGGCUUUGACGGGUAGCCGGCCUGAGAGGGUGACCGGCCACAUUGGGACUGAGAUACGGCCCAGACUCCUACGGGAGGCAGCAGUGGGGAAUAUUGCACAAUGGGCGGAAGCCUGAUGCAGCAACGCCGCGUGCGGGAUGACGGCCUUCGGGUUGUAAACCGCUUUCGCCUGUGUCGAAGCGUGAGUGACGGUAAUGGGUAAAGAAGCACCGGCUAACUACGUG
Molecule: ribosomal RNA, 468 nt
Filed under: uncultured bacterium
Lineage: Bacteria
Description: partial 16S ribosomal RNA
Rfam family: Bacterial small subunit ribosomal RNA
Source: RNAcentral